AAAACAUUGCAGAAUUCUGCCUAGAGUUUACGACCGGUACAGCUUAUACAAAGUAUUUAAUGAAGCCCGAACCAUCAUAACAGAAUAACGCGCCACCUGGCCGCCCUAACCUGAUGAUCAGACCACCACCGUAUGGGAUGCCUCCGGGAGCCAAUUUCAUGCCACCCCCCAUGGAAGCCCCCGACAUGUCAGCGCCACCUAUGAUGGGAGGACCCCCAGGUUUCCAGCCCCGGACAGGAAGUAUCCCCCCGCCCCACUACCCUUCACCCAGAGGUAUGCCACCAAUGAGGAUGCCUCCAGCUUUUCCCACACCAGGCCCAGGUAA
Molecule: long non-coding RNA, 325 nt
Organism: Saccostrea cuccullata (small rock oyster)
Lineage: Eukaryota; Metazoa; Mollusca; Bivalvia; Ostreida; Ostreidae
Exons: 4
Source: RefSeq, a predicted model, not a curated record